CCCCUAGAUGUUCUGGGCCGCACGCGCGCUACACUGAACAGUUCAACAAGUCUUAACCUUGGCCGAUAGGUCUGGGUAAUCUUUGAACGCUGUUCGUGAUUGGGAUAGACCUUUGCAAUUAUGGGUCUUCAACGAGGAAUUCCUAGUAAACGCAAGUCAUCAGCUUGCAUUGAUUACGUCCCUGCCCUUUGUACACACCGCCCGUCGCACCUACCGAUCGAAUGGUCCGGUGAAAUCUCGGGACGGCGGCUUGGUCGCUUGCGUCCGACUGCUGAAACUUGAUUAAACCAUNUNAUUUAGNGGAAGGUGAANUCGUANCA
This 320-nucleotide ribosomal RNA is filed under the name uncultured eukaryote. RNAcentral's name for it is "partial 18S ribosomal RNA". It matches the Rfam family "Eukaryotic small subunit ribosomal RNA", at positions 1470 to 1796 of the family's 1831-position model. The record is from RNAcentral.